ACGUGAUCUGAGUUCAGACCGGAGUAAUCCAGGUCAGUUUCUAUCUAUAAAGGGCUUCUUCCAGUACGAAAGGACCGAAAAAGCACGGCCCAUGCCUAAGUAAGCCGAAUUCAUUAAUUUAUGACUCAAACUCAAUAAACAAUUGACCUACAACUUUAUUCUAGACAAGAACA
This 173-nucleotide ribosomal RNA is filed under the name Ptychohyla hypomykter (Copan stream frog). RNAcentral's name for it is "partial 16S ribosomal RNA". Lineage: Eukaryota; Metazoa; Chordata; Amphibia; Anura; Hylidae. The record is from RNAcentral.